Molecule: ribosomal RNA, 366 nt
Filed under: uncultured eukaryote
Lineage: Eukaryota
Description: partial 18S ribosomal RNA
Rfam family: Eukaryotic small subunit ribosomal RNA
Source: RNAcentral
CAAUAGCGUAUAUUAACGUUGUUGCAGUUAAAAAGCUCGUAGCUGGAUUUCUGGAGGGAGCGUCGGCCCGUAUUUACGAGUGCGUGACGUCUCUGUCCAUCCUUGCGGGAAGGCACGGCAUUGAUUUGUUGUGUCGGAUCGCAUCAUUUACUGUGAAAAAAUUAGAGUGUUCAAAGCAGGCUUUCGCUUGAAUACAUUAGCAUGGAAUAAUAAGAUAGGACUUUGGUGCUAUUUUGUUGGUUGAGCCUAAAGUAAUGAUUAAUAGGGAUAGUUGGGGGCACCUGUAUUGCGUUGUCAGAGGUGAAAUUCUUGGAUUUACGCAAGACAAACAGCUGCGAAAGCGUCUGCCAAGGAUGUUUUCAUUAA